UAAGCAUAUCAAUAAGCGGAGGAAAAGAAACCAACAGGGAUUGCCUUAGUAACGGCGAGUGAAGCGGCAACAGCUCAAAUUUGAAAUCUGGCCCUUGGGUCCGAAUUGUAAUUUGUAGAGGAUGAUUUUGGUGCGGUAUCUUCCGAGUUCCUUGGAACAGGACGCCUUAGAGGGUGAGAGCCCCGUACGGUUGAAUGCCUAGCCUCUGUAAAUCUCCUUCGACGAGUCGAGUAGUUUGGGAAUGCUGCUCUAAAUGGGAGGUAAAUUUCUUCUAAAGCUAAAUAUUGGCCAGAGACCGAUAGCGCACAAGUAGAGUGAUCGAAAGAUGAAAAGCACUUUGAAAAGAGGGUUAAAUAGCACGUGAAAUUGUUGAAAGGGAAGGAUUUGUGACCAGACUUUUUCUGGGCGGAUCAUCCGGGGUUCUCUCCGGUGCACUUCGCCCAGUAAAGGCCAGCAUCGGUUUUCGGCGUGGGAUAAAAGCAGUAGGAAUGUGGCUCUCUACGGGGAGUGUUAUAGCCUAUUGUAUAAUACCGCGCUGGGGACCGAGGUUCGCGCUUCUGCAAGGAUGCUGGCGUAAUGGUUAUCAAUCACCCGUCUUGAAACACGGACCAAGGAGUCGAACAUUUGUGCGAGUGUUUGGGUGUUAAACCCUCACGCGUAAUGAAAGUGAACGGAGGUGAGAGCCCUUACGGGUGCAUCAUCGACCGAUCCUGAAGUUUUCGGAUGGAUUUGAGUAAGAGCAUAACUGUUCGGACCCGAAAGAUGGUGAACUAUGCGUGGAUAGGGUGAAGCCAGAGGAAACUCUGGUGGAGGCUCGCAGCGGUUCUGACGUGCAAAUCGAUCGUCAAAUCUGCGCAUGGGGCGAAAGACUAAUCGAUCCAG
RNAcentral lists this ribosomal RNA (882 nucleotides) under Neopestalotiopsis cocois. RNAcentral describes it as "eukaryotic LSU rRNA". It matches the Rfam family "Eukaryotic large subunit ribosomal RNA", at positions 35 to 943 of the family's 3401-position model. Lineage: Eukaryota; Fungi; Ascomycota; Sordariomycetes; Amphisphaeriales; Sporocadaceae. The record is from RNAcentral.